RNAcentral lists this ribosomal RNA (1372 nucleotides) under uncultured bacterium. RNAcentral describes it as "bacterial SSU rRNA". It matches the Rfam family "Bacterial small subunit ribosomal RNA", at positions 28 to 1381 of the family's 1533-position model. The record is from RNAcentral.
GAUGAACGCUGGCGGCGUGCCUAAUACAUGCAAGUCGAGCGAACGGACGAGAAGCUUGCUUCUCUGAUGUUAGCGGCGGACGGGUGAGUAACACGUGGAUAACCUACCUAUAAGACUGGGAUAACUUCGGGAAACCGGAGCUAAUACCGGAUAAUAUUUUGAACCGCAUGGUUCAAAAGUGAAAGACGGUCUUGCUGUCACUUAUAGAUGGAUCCGCGCUGCAUUAGCUAGUUGGUAAGGUAACGGCUUACCAAGGCAACGAUGCAUAGCCGACCUGAGAGGGUGAUCGGCCACACUGGAACUGAGACACGGUCCAGACUCCUACGGGAGGCAGCAGUAGGGAAUCUUCCGCAAUGGGCGAAAGCCUGACGGAGCAACGCCGCGUGAGUGAUGAAGGUCUUCGGAUCGUAAAACUCUGUUAUUAGGGAAGAACAUAUGUGUAAGUAACUGUGCACAUCUUGACGGUACCUAAUCAGAAAGCCACGGCUAACUACGUGCCAGCAGCCGCGGUAAUACGUAGGUGGCAAGCGUUAUCCGGAAUUAUUGGGCGUAAAGCGCGCGUAGGCGGUUUUUUAAGUCUGAUGUGAAAGCCCACGGCUCAACCGUGGAGGGUCAUUGGAAACUGGAAAACUUGAGUGCAGAAGAGGAAAGUGGAAUUCCAUGUGUAGCGGUGAAAUGCGCAGAGAUAUGGAGGAACACCAGUGGCGAAGGCGACUUUCUGGUCUGUAACUGACGCUGAUGUGCGAAAGCGUGGGGAUCAAACAGGAUUAGAUACCCUGGUAGUCCCCGCCGUAAACGAUGAGUGCUAAGUGUUAGGGGGUUUCCGCCCCUUAGUGCUGCAGCUAACGCAUUAAGCACUCCGCCUGGGGAGUACGACCGCAAGGUUGAAACUCAAAGGAAUUGACGGGGACCCGCACAAGCGGUGGAGCAUGUGGUUUAAUUCGAAGCAACGCGAAGAACCUUACCAAAUCUUGACAUCCUUUGACAACUCUAGAGAUAGAGCCUUCCCCUUCGGGGGACAAAGUGACAGGUGGUGCAUGGUUGUCGUCAGCUCGUGUCGUGAGAUGUUGGGUUAAGUCCCGCAACGAGCGCAACCCUUAAGCUUAGUUGCCAUCAUUAAGUUGGGCACUCUAAGUUGACUGCCGGUGACAAACCGGAGGAAGGUGGGGAUGACGUCAAAUCAUCAUGCCCCUUAUGAUUUGGGCUACACACGUGCUACAAUGGACAAUACAAAGGGCAGCGAAACCGCGAGGUCAAGCAAAUCCCAUAAAGUUGUUCUCAGUUCGGAUUGUAGUCUGCAACUCGACUACAUGAAGCUGGAAUCGCUAGUAAUCGUAGAUCAGCAUGCUACGGUGAAUACGUUCCCGGGUCU